CUGGUCCCCACCGCUCCCGCUGCUGCUCCCGCCCCUCCGCUCCUCGGCCGCGCCAUGGGCACCCGCGACGACGAGUAUGACUACCUCUUCAAAGUUGUCCUUAUUGGAGAUUCUGGUGUUGGAAAGAGUAAUCUCCUGUCCCGAUUUACUCGAAAUGAGUUUAACCUGGAGAGCAAGAGUACCAUUGGAGUAGAGUUUGCAACAAGAAGCAUCCAGGUGGAUGGGAAAACAAUAAAGGCACCGAUAUGGGACACGGCAGGACAAGAGCGAUACUGAGCUAUAACAUCAGCAUACUACCGUGGAGCUGUAGGUGCCUUACUGGUCUAUGACAUUGCUAAACAUCUCACAUACGAAAAUGUAGAACGAUGGCUGAAAGAACUGAGAGACCAUGCAGAUAGUAACAUUGUUAUCAUGCUGGUGGGCAAUAAGAGUGAUUUACGUCAUCUCAGGGCGGUUCCCACAGAUGAAGCGAGAGCUUUUGCAGAAAAGAAUGGUUUGUCAUUCAUUGAGACAUCAGCUCUAGACUCAACAAAUGUAGAAGCUGCUUUUCAGACAAUUUUAACAGAGAUAUACCGCAUUGUGUCUCAGAAGCAAAUGUCAGACAGACGUGAAAAUGACAUGUCUCCAAGCAACAAUGUGGUUCCUAUUCAUGUUCCACCAACCACUGAAAAUAAGCCAAAGGUGCAGUGCUGUCAGAACAUCUAAGGCAUUUCUCUCCUCCCCUAGAAGGCUGUGUAUAGUCCAUUUCCCAGGUCUGAGAUUUAAAUAUGUUUGUAAUUCCUGUGGCCACUUUUGUGUUUUAUUACUUUACUUCCUCAUACUUACGAAUUCUUCCAUGUCUUAAGUCCUUUGAUUUUAGAUUUAUAAAAUCAUCCACUUUGUGC
Octodon degus (degu) is the source of this 884-nucleotide RNA transcript. It is a transcript of the gene named ras-related protein Rab-11A pseudogene, with no coding region annotated. NCBI's taxonomy places the organism in Eukaryota, Metazoa, Chordata, Mammalia, Rodentia, Octodontidae. The record is from RefSeq and is a predicted model, not a curated record. The transcript has a single exon.